UCAAUCAACUUGGGCUUUGAGGGUAUCAUUUUUCUUUUUUCUUUUUUCUUUUAAAAAAAUAAAUAAAUUUGAUUUUGAUUCUUUUUUUAUAUUUUUCACCCUCUCUCUCUCUUUUUUUUGUCUUUUUCUUUUUUGAUUACAUUUGUAAUGCCCCAGUUUGACUGUUUUGCUGAUUCUCAUGAUACAGCUGAAUGAGCUUCUUUUCAUACUCAAGAAGACGAGUAAUCUCAUCAGGAAUCCCCUUCAACAUCAUCUUCCUCUGCCUCAAAUACAAGGAAUUCAAGAUCGGGAGAUGGCGUUGGAUCAUUAUGUUCAAUGGGUUUAGAAAUCCCUGCAUAAUGA
Molecule: long non-coding RNA, 342 nt
Filed under: Lathyrus oleraceus (garden pea)
Lineage: Eukaryota; Viridiplantae; Streptophyta; Magnoliopsida; Fabales; Fabaceae
Description: Pisum sativum (pea) long non-coding RNA (PSAT_LNC006139)
Source: RNAcentral